RNAcentral lists this ribosomal RNA (450 nucleotides) under uncultured bacterium. RNAcentral's name for it is "bacterial SSU rRNA". It matches the Rfam family "Bacterial small subunit ribosomal RNA", at positions 29 to 524 of the family's 1533-position model. The record is from RNAcentral.
AACGAACGCUGGCGGCAUGCCUAACACAUGCAAGUCGAACGAGACCUUCGGGUCUAGUGGCGCACGGGUGCGUAACGCGUGGGAAUCUACCCUUGGGUUCGGAAUAACUCAGAGAAAUUUGAGCUAAUACCGGAUGAUGUCGCAAGACCAAAGAUUUAUCGCCCAAGGAUGAGCCCGCGUAGGAUUAGCUUGUUGGUGAGGUAAAAGCUCACCAAGGCGACGAUCCUUAGCUGGUCUGAGAGGAUGAUCAGCCACACUGGGACUGAGACACGGCCCAGACUCCUACGGGAGGCAGCAGUGGGGAAUAUUGGACAAUGGGCGAAAGCCUGAUCCAGCAAUGCCGCGUGAGUGAUGAAGGCCUUAGGGUUGUAAAGCUCUUUUACCCGGGAUGAUAAUGACAGUACCGGGAGAAUAAGCUCCGGCUAACUCCGUGCCAGCAGCCGCGGUAAU